This 1176-nucleotide long non-coding RNA is filed under the name Pogona vitticeps (central bearded dragon). Its description in RNAcentral is "lncRNA (ENSPVIG00000009553.1)". The record is from RNAcentral. Lineage: Eukaryota; Metazoa; Chordata; Lepidosauria; Squamata; Agamidae.
AUGUUGGGUGGGGAUUGGGGGCAACUGCUGAGGGAGGGAGGCCCCUAUCAAGCUCUCCCUCUCCCAAAGAAUUGGGUUCAGACAAACUUUUUCCAACAGUGCAAAGCAUGCUUUGUGGCUUCUUUCCCUCGGGACUCUUGCAGGAGAGGUCCAGGCCCAAACGUGGACAGGGGCCGGGGUUGGGGCUGUUCUCUUGUCUUCUUGUGUCAUCUUUUGAACCCAGGGCAGGUGGCAGCCUCAUCCCUAAACCUCCCAUUCACAUUCAGUGAGAACAACACUUGGUUUAAGAAUGUGGAAGGAGGCCUAAGCGAGAGGCCUUUGGGGAGGCCAAGCAUUCCCCCCCCAGAGUCCUGCAGUUUUUGUGUUUUUGGGCCACCCCCUCCGCAGAGUUCCCCAGGCAGCGAGGAACCCCACCUGCCUGCAUCUAGGUCACACCUUCUGCUCUCCACCGCUUGUCUCUGCCAAAGGUGAAAAGGGGUGGGGUGGGGCAGGGUGGGGGGAGGGGGCGUGAGUGGAGGGCAGGCCUCCUCUCUGCACCUGCUCCCGACCUCCUUGACCUCCUGGCUCUUUCUCGGCUGGGUUUGCUGUGGAGUCGCCCUCUCUGUCCUGGUCGGCUGGAGCCAGCGGGCAGGCGGGCUUUUGAGCCUCUGGGCUGCCCAUGAAGUCUUAGGCAGGCAGAGAGGCAGGAUCAGCAGCAGUCAUCAUCAUCCUACAGGUGGGGGCGGGGGCGUUGCUCCUGGUCCAUCAGCCUUGUUUCUAGGGAGAGGCAAGUUGGGUGUUGGCUCUUUGGUGUCAGGCCUGCUGGGAAUGUCCGUGCUUCAGCUUCCUCACACACACCCCAGCCCAGCCCUGGAUGGUCCCGAACUGCCACCUGGCCUGUGCCAUCUUCCUUCCUAUGAGCGGGGGCUUCCCCAGCCCUCCUUGGGAGUCCCAGUCGAUGCCCUGUCCUUCUGGGGCGGGCCUCCCCCUUUGAACCCGAGGCCUUCCUUCUCUGUGGGUGGAUGGCUGUGAUCCCCAGGCUGUCUAGAUUCAGAGACAUAGGAACUAUGUAGAUAUUUAAAGGACUAGAGUUUUAAUAAUAUACUGUACCUAUAUUUAAAGAUGAUCGUGACAUUCUGCACCUUUGUAUAUGUUGGAAGAGUUCAUUGCUGUGUGAUAGCCUGAACUUUAACUUAU